RNA transcript from Asparagus officinalis (garden asparagus), 4354 nucleotides. It is a transcript of the gene named disease resistance protein RGA2-like, with no coding region annotated. The record is from RefSeq and is a predicted model, not a curated record. The transcript has 4 exons. Lineage: Eukaryota; Viridiplantae; Streptophyta; Magnoliopsida; Asparagales; Asparagaceae.
AUCAUAACAUAAUUCGGAGUGUGGAUAUAAGUCCCCCAUUUCUUAAGUGAUGUAGGAGAACCAAGGAGUUCUCUGCAACUCUCUGCAAUUGAAGUUUACAUCUACUACUAGAAAGCAAAAGCGAAGAGCGUUCGCUACUCAUAAAAACAUGGUGGUGGUUGGAGACGUGAUUGUGACCAAGAUCAUCGAGAAGUUGGUGGAGAUCGGGUUCGAGUAUGCAGCAGACCGGUAUUUUGCUCGGGAUACUCGGAUGAAAGAUGAGCUUGAGAGGCUCAAGAAAGCUCUUCCUCGUAUCCAAGCUGUUGUGGAGAUGGCUGAGAGCAGGCAACGAGAGAUCAAGGGAGGACUCAGCGAAUGGCUGUGGCAACUAAAAGAUGCGUUGGAUGAGGCUGACAACGCACUUGAUGAGCUUGAUUACCUUAAGCUACAGAAACAAGUUGAGGAGAAAGCCUCAGGCAGCAAAGAACAUGGUCAUAGUGGCCGUGGUAAAGUGCGUGGUUUUCUCUCCGACUCUAAACGGAAAGUUGUAAAAGCUGGUAAAAGAGUCUUCAAAUCCGAUCCCACCCUCGGGAAACUGAGGGGGGCUGUGAAAAGGCUAGAUGAAGUCGCAGCGGGCGUGGGAGAUUUCAUCUCUACACUACAACUGCCUCAACAACAUCAAAGUCAGAGCCCGGUUCCUGCUCGUAAAACUGGACCAGCUCUAACUGAGAAAAAACUGCGUGGACGAGAUGAAGAGAGGGAGGAACUGUUAGGGUGGUUGAGAGGGGAUGACAGCAGUACAAGUGUAUCUCUUUUCUCCAUUUUUGGCCAUGGAGGAGUGGGCAAGACCACCCUCGCACAACACGUCUAUAACGACGAGAGCUCAACUAAUUCCUUCGAUCCCAAAAUCUGGGUGUGCAUCUCCACUCCCUUUGUUGCCGAAAAGGUCAUGGCACAUAUGAUAGAAUACGCCGAGAAAAAGAGACCUGAAGUUAAGGAACUUGCCGCUCUGCAAGAAGCUCUUAAAAAUCUGGUUUCAUCGAGGAAAUUUCUCCUUGUCUUGGAUGACGCAUGGAAUGAUGACAAUCGUUCUGAAUGGGAUAAAUUGUUUGCUCCUUUGACGAGUGGCCAUAAAGGAAGCAAAAUCUUGUUAACUACUAGAAGUGUGUCUGUUGCAAAAAUGGUUGCAUCAGCUUUGGGGGGAUCAAUAAAUGAGCCAAUGAAACUAAAACCUUUAGAUGAUGACAACUUCCUAUUACUUUUCAACCAAUAUGCAUUUGCUGGUGUAGACUCUUGUGAUUAUAGGAAGUUGGAAUCCAUUGGCGAGAAAAUAGCAAGAAGGCUUGGGGGCUUACCAUUGGCUGCAAAGACGAUUGGAGCGCUAUUGAAUUCUAAGUUGGAUGAUAGUCAUUGGAACAGAAUUUUGCAUGCGGACAAUAUAUCCGAUCAAGCACAGCAGAGGGAUGAUGUGACGUCUGUUUUGAUGUUAAGCUACAACCAUUUACCAAUGCACUUAAGACCAUGUUUUGCUUAUUGCAGCAUCUUUCCUCAAGAUUAUAGGUUCGAGAAAGAUGAUCUAGUCUUCAUGUGGAUGGCUCUUGGCCUCAUUCAAAAAUCUUCCCAAUAUCCAAACGAGACACUGGAGGACACUGGAAGGGGCUACUUUGACGAUUUAGUGAAACUAUCAUUUCUCGAACAAGGUUACUUCGCAGAUGGAACCUACAACAUGCAUGAUCUUUUGCAUGAAGUGGCACGCAAAGUGUCUCAUGGUGAUUGCUUUAGAUUUGUCGGAGACAUGUCAAUUGACCAGAUCCCGAAUAUGGUACGUCAUCUGCAUUUUGAAAUCGACAAACUUGACCUUCUUAAAGAUGUGGGCAAACGGAAGAAACUCCGCACGCUUGUGUUAGUCUUCAGAGGAUAUGUUAAUGAGCAUGCCAAGGAUUUUGAAGAAGCGUUUAAGUCACUGGAAAGCAUUCGGGUGCUGCGCCUAGCUGUUGACGGCAUGAACGUUUUGCCAGAUGCAAUUGGUAACCUGAGGCAUAUUAGGUAUUUGUCGAUUGGUCAUGUUAUUUCUCCGUUACCUAGUUCAUUCUGCAGGCUCUACCACCUGCAGGUCCUUGCUGGUGGACGUUUUGCUACUCAAUCUGUUCUUGGCUUGAAUAAUCUCAUUAGUUUGAGACACCUGAUACCAUAUCAAGUUUACUAUGAAAAAAUCGAGGGGUUAGGGACAUUAACUUCACUUCAACGUUUUUCGUUCGCUGCUGAAGUUUAUAAAUUGAGUGAAUUGAAGGAGAUGAGAGAUCUGCGGGAACUGAGUAUCCGUGGCCUUGAGAAUCGCAAACAUCACGAGGAAGUCAGUACGAUCUGUGGCCUUGAGAGCCUCCUCAAGUUAGAGCUGGUUUGGUCUGAUGACAGUGAUGUGGCGGAUGAGUAUGAACUGAUGCUUGAUCGCCUGCAACCACCCGAUAGCCUCAGGGAACUAACAAUCAAGGGAUACCACGGCGCCAGGUCUCCACGUUGGAUGGAACCAGAAUUAUUAAAAAAUCUGGAGCACGUAAGCCUUGAACGUGGCAGGGCAUGGAAGCACCUUCCUUCUCUCGGGAAGCUCCCAUACAUCAUGCGUUUAUCCUUGAGGGGACUGACAGCUCUUCAUCAAAUUAACUGUGAAGGUGGCUUUCAACAACUGAAGCAUUUAUCUUUUUAUAAUUGUGGGCAAUGGGAGGAGUGGUGUGGAUUAGAAGCAGAGGCAGUAGUACCCUGGUGCCCUCUCCUCAAGGAACUUGUUAUCUGGGAUUGUCCCAGACUGAAGGCGCUGCCCCCUCUGCCCCUCGGUCUCAAGACAUUGGUGUUGCAACGUGUGGGAUUGUCUGAUUCCCCGACGCUCUGGGUGGGCAGCAACUGCGGUGGUAGCAGCUGCGGUACAGCUAGCUCUUCGUCCACGUCCUCUCCCUCCCUCUCUGCAUUGAGAAUUAGAAGGUGUGGAGAGCUGACAUCCGUGGCUGGCUUGUUCCGACAUCAUCUCACGUCUCUCAGCCGGUUGGAGAUUGUGAAUUGCCCUAAGCUGAGGAUGUCUCCAAACGCAGUUACCCCAGUUGAUUGUUUCUCUCUCCCAUCACUCCGAUCCCUUUGGCUUGUUGAUUGUGGUGGACCGGACGGUCCCACUCCUGCGUUAUUAAUGCAAAGUUCCAUCACUUCUCUUUCAAGCCUUGGAUUAGGUGGAGAUAACCACAUAACCGCCUUUCCCUCCGAAGUGGAGUGUGGAAGAUUUACUUCUCUGAGGGAGUUGUACCUGGCAGGGUGUGGUGAGCUGGCAUCAAUUGAGCGUCUAAAGGCUCUUCCCCACCUUAAAGAGCUAACCAUUAGCGAGUGCCCCAAGCUUGUGCGAGCAGCUGCGGAAACAACUCCAGCAUCAAUAAUCGAGCGGGAAGAGGAGCAGGAGUUCACAUCAACUGUUGAAGAACUUGAAAUCGAUGACCCGUUCCUGCUCCACAUAGAGCCGUUGAGAAACCUCACAUCUGUCAGAUGGCUAGAAAUACAAGAUUGUAGUCAUCUGGAGGCUGCUCUCGCGGAGUCAUGGUUGUUGCAGAAUUCAACUUCGCUGCGACGUCUCGAGCUGCGGGGUGAAGCAAAGUGCUUGCCUUCUAGCCUCCAAAUUCUCUCUUCCCUCGAGUAUUUGUCACUUGGUGAAGCUUAUGAGCUCCAAUCACUGCCACAACUUCCUCUCUCUCUGCAAUUUCUGAUGAUCUUGGGCUGCAGCGAGGCACUGAAGGAGCGAUGCCGGGAGAAUGAAGGUGCUGAUUGGCCCAACAUCCGACACAUCCCUCACAUCACAAUUACUUGAUUAGCUACUCGGUCCGGGGACGAUGUUUUGUGAUAAUUUGAGCUAUAUAUUCAUGUUCUUGUUUAUAGCUACUUCCAACAUGGUUGCUACUUCACUUGCUAGAAAAGAAGCAUUUGAAAGAAGCUAUGACCAAGUCUUUUAUUUCAUCCCAUAUUAUGAGAAGCGAAGUGUGUCAAGAGAUGAAAUCGAGAUAUUGCCACCAAUUACUACUAAAAGGAUGUGAAGAAAUAGAACUAGACGUAUAAACAAUAGAAUAAUUUACAAAAGUCCACUGAAAUGUUCUUGAUGCAAAGUUCAAGGUCACAAUCAAGCCAAUAUUCACUCUCUGCAUGGGCUUCUGCACUCUCAUCGUCAUCAUGGGGUGAUUGUCGAUAUACUGUUUAUAUGUCAAAAAUCGUUGGUGUAGUAUGUUAAAAGCUUUGUUGCUCAUUCCUUGGGAUGUUUCUGAUUAGCAUUGUGAAUCUGAAUGGUUGUUGGUUUUCAAAUAUAAGUAGCAACUGAUGUUGAUCUGUGGUCUUAUUAAUUUUUGGUGCU